AGAUGAACACAGGCUUCACAGUGGCAAGCUCUGUCUGAUUAUCCUCACCUGUAUCGCAGAGGAUCAAUAUGCCAAUGCAUUUUUACAUGAUGACAACAUGAAUUUUCGAGUAAACUUACAUAGAAUGCCUAUGAGACACAGAAAGAAGGCUGCUGACAAGAAUCUUCCCUGCCGUCCCCUGGUGUGUGCAGUCCUGG
Long non-coding RNA from Grammomys surdaster, 197 nucleotides. RefSeq lists it as uncharacterized. Lineage: Eukaryota; Metazoa; Chordata; Mammalia; Rodentia; Muridae. The transcript has 3 exons. The record is from RefSeq and is a predicted model, not a curated record.